GAUUUAGGUGAACUAUAGAAUACUCAAGCUAUGCAUCCAACGCGUUGGGAGCUCUCCCAUAUGGUCGACCUGCAGGCGGCCGCACUAGUGAUUCCUACGGGAGGCAGCAGUGGGGAAUAUUGCACAAUGGGCGCAAGCCUGAUGCAGCCAUGCCGCGUGUAUGAAGAAGGCCUUCGGGUUGUAAAGUACUUUCAGCGGGGAGGAAGGUGUUGAGGUUAAUAACCUCAGCAAUUGACGUUACCCGCAGAAGAAGCACCGGCUAACUCCGUGCCAGCAGCCGCGGUAAUAAUCCCGCGGCCAUGGCGGCCGGGAGCAUGCGACGUCGGGCCCAAUUCGCCCUAUAGUACUCGUAUUAA
RNAcentral lists this ribosomal RNA (356 nucleotides) under uncultured bacterium. RNAcentral's name for it is "bacterial SSU rRNA". The stretch from base 1 to 298 matches the Rfam family "Bacterial small subunit ribosomal RNA", at positions 224 to 535 of the family's 1533-position model. The record is from RNAcentral.